GCCUCCCUGCGGCCGCCGGCAGCGAAGUGCUGAGUCACGGUGAGGCAGCUGCGCGGCGCCCUUCGAGCCCACCUUCCCCACGCCUCCCCCGCCGCACGGGCUGCAGCAGCCGCCCUCACCGGGAGGGACUACAGGGCGCCCGCAGGGCCGGGCGGGUGCCGGCGAUCAGUUAGCAGGACCCCGCCCUCUCUGGCCCGCCUCAGACUCCCAGGGGAAUCUCCUAGGCAGAUGGCCAGAGAUGCUUAAGUAGUCCUCUGCAGUGGGGUGCAAGUGGCAGACAACUUUUCUUUCUGCAGACCACUGCGAUCUGCUCAGCCUCAGAACACUCUCUUUUUAGCCUUGGACAUGGCGUGGUCCAAAAAGGUUACCCUCUCACUACUCAGCCGGGAGCAGUCGGAAGGGGUUGGAGCGCGGGUCCGCAGAAGCAUCGGCAGACCUGAGUUAAAACAUCUGGAUCCAUUUUUAUUGUUUGAUGAAUUUAAAGGCGGUAGACCAGGUGGAUUUCCUGAUCACCCGCACCGAGGUUUUGAAACAGUAUCUUACCUCCUGGAAGGGGGCAGCAUGGCCCAUGAAGACUUCUGUGGACACACUGGUCAGUUGAACCCAGGAGACCUGCAGUGGAUGACCGCGGGCCGGGGCAUCGUGCACGCCGAGAUGCCUUGCUCAGAGGAGCCAGUCCACGGCCUACAACUGUGGGUUAAUUUGAGGAGCCCACAGAAGAUGGUGGAGCCUCGGUAUCAGGAACUGAAAAGCAACGAAAUCCCUAAACCCAGUAAGGAGGGCGUGACCGUUGCUGUCAUUUCUGGAGAAGCCCUGGGAGUCAAGUCCAAGAUUUACACUUACACACCAACUUUAUAUUUGGACUUCAAAUUGGGCCAAGGAGCAAAGCAUUCCCACCCUAUUCCUAAAGGGUGGACAAGCUUCAUUUAUACCAUAUCUGGAAAUGUGUAUAUUGGACCUGAUGACACACAACAAAAAAUAGAACCUCAUCACACAGCCGUGCUGGGGGAAGGUGACAGUGUCCAGGUGGAGAACAAGAGAUGGGGAUCAACCCUGGGCUCCUCUGGACAUUUAAGCCUGGACUGUAAUGGUCACCCUGGAACAACCUCUGUCUCAAGCGUUAAAGCUCCCUGUGCUGCUUUGGCCCACAGUUGGUACCCUGGUUGCCAAGAUGGCUCCAUGGUCAGGAGCACAGGGAUUUGAUGUGGAGACUUGAUCUCAGCUUAAAACUCCUGUUUAUACUAGCGUCCUAUUGAGAAAGUCUUAAGCCUCGUGGAUUAGCAAACUUACUUGCAGUUUGUCAAGGUAGACAAUCAGUUCCUCAUUGACUGCCAUCAAAACCAUACUUGAGAAUAAGGAUACUCUUUAACUGGCACCAUUCAUGGGGAAUUCAUUAAACUAAUACAGAUUAAUAUUUGAUUAAAAUAAAGAUCGAAAGACAACUAAAACACCCUUUUAAACCUAGAGACAACUUUUUGCUGAUGUGUAAAAAUUCAUAAUAAAAUAAACCAUUAAUCUUCAAAAACUGCUAACAGUUCACUGUUUUCUCUUUCAAUUGGCCUAAGAAGUAUAAACAGUGAAGUCUAGUAAGAACAAUUACAUGCAUAAGUCCUGUUAAAGCUCAGUUUCUUUCUGAUAAUGUUUUCAGGUAAUAUUUCACCAUAAUAAAUGUUCCUGAUGCAGAAGUAUGCCCUUAGUUUCCUUCUUGGAGUCCCACUGCCAUCUCAAGCUUUGUAUUUCUGAUUAAUCAAACAAACUCUGAGUACAUACUUACAGUGUAGAAGUUAUCAACACCUUAAAUAAAUCCUAGCGCCUUCAUCUGGGCUUCAAUCAUUUAUUGUUGGUGUCAGUGGAACUCAAGACAUAUCUUGCCAGUAUUUAUGGAAUAACAAAGAGCAAUUUGUAAAAGUAAAUUAUUACGUAAACCCAGAAGGGCCUGACUCGAAACUAGGAACUCUGAGAAUGUGUGCCAAAGUGAAAGACAUGGUCUGGGCCCCAAGAGAUCGUGAGUUUCAGUUGGGGCAACUGUCCAUGAAGCAGUAAGUGAACUUCUGUUGCCUUUGUGUGAGGGUCUCUUCAUCAGAACCUAACAGGGCACUGACUUAGAUCCACACAGGGACUCAUGAUCUUAAACAAGUCUUUCUUUCUCUUUGCUUUGGCCUGAUUUUCAUCAUUUGACACUGUACCCAAGGUCGCCAUAGAGGAGGACUUUUCAAGAUAGCAGCAUUCGGGACUUGGAGCCACAAAAGCACUCUACUGAAUAUCCAGAAAGAUGAUCAGCUUUCACCGAAGAAGGCUAGUUAAGGGAGGAAAAAGGAUGCACUUAAGAAAAAAGAAGAAGACCCAAAACAUCUGGCUUAGGUUACUACAGAGCACUGAGUAGAGUUCCCUGUGCUAUACAUUUCAGGGAAAAAAACCUAAUCUUAAUUCUGAACAAAAACUUUUAGAGACUUUAACACAAUAGGACACUUUUGGAGAGAAAUUUACCUGAGCAGGAUCCUGAGAGAAGCCACUUCAUCCUGAUAGCUGGGGAGCCAUUAAGAGAACCAGUUGUCCAACAUGGUCCAUUUGUGAUGAACACAGAU
Balaenoptera musculus (blue whale) is the source of this 2585-nucleotide RNA transcript. It is a transcript of the gene named pirin, with no coding region annotated. NCBI's taxonomy places the organism in Eukaryota, Metazoa, Chordata, Mammalia, Artiodactyla, Balaenopteridae. The transcript has 13 exons. The record is from RefSeq and is a predicted model, not a curated record.